RNA transcript from Gossypium arboreum, 2141 nucleotides. RefSeq lists it as uncharacterized. Lineage: Eukaryota; Viridiplantae; Streptophyta; Magnoliopsida; Malvales; Malvaceae. The record is from RefSeq and is a predicted model, not a curated record. The transcript is spliced from 3 exons.
CACCGAUAAAAUAAACCGCUCGAGGACCCGUCAGCAAAUAUAUAUGCCAGAGAUAGUCUUCUCAACUCGGCUGACUCCAGUUCAAUAGCCCUGAAACUCGGUUACCAUGGACACUGGUAACGGUUCAAUGGCAAGCUUAGCCUCACAAAUAUGCAACCAUAUAGCCUCCAUCUUCUCCAAACCCAGUAUCCACCCACCAGCUUUGGACCUAAUGGUAGCAGAAUUGGCCUCCAUAGCGUCCCAAAAGGGUCGCGUUUUUCUGUAUGGUGUAGGCCGAGAGGGUUUAAUGUUGAAGGCCCUCUGUAUGCGCCUUGCUCAUUUGGGUCUCUCUGCUCACUUCGUCUUCGACAUGACUACUCCACCAAUUACUUCCAAAGACCUUCUCGUAGCAUCAGCUGGCCCUGGAGGGUUCUCCACUGUCGAUGCUAUUUGCUCGGUGGCACGGUCCCAUGGUGGUAGAGUUUUGUUGCUGACUGCCCAGCCUGAAACGGGAUCCAGUGUGAAGCAUGCAAAUGUGGUAGCGUAUGUUGCAGCCCAGACUAUGGCUGAUGAUGGCGGUGGGGAGAAAUCAAGGACAUUGCUGCCUAUGGGGAGUGUCUAUGAGGGGGCCAUGUUUGUGUUGUUUGAGAUGGUGGUUUACAAAUUGGGUGAGGUUUUGGGAGAGAGUCCUGAGGCCAUCCGAGCUCGACAUACCAAUCUUGAGUGACAAAAUCCCUGGUUUCGAUGCUCUAAAUCCUAUGUUACUUGGACUUGAGUGUGAAUAUCGGAUAUAUGCAUAUGUUCAACAUUUUUUUUCAUAUAUUAGGAAUGUACUUGGAGGCUCAUAUCCGGAUAGGUAUUGGGCAGCAUGGGUACUUUAGGGAACACAAUAGUUCAAGUCAAUUAUCCUGAUCUUAAUCAUGUUUAAUAAAAAAGAGAAACCUAUGCUCUAACGAACUAGGUCAUCUUGGGAGUUUUUAUAGUAGGUAGCAGAGUAAGAUCUAGCCUAAGAUCAAACUUUACUGUUCAUCAGCCAUCUCAAAUUCCUAACACCUGCCAAUAUUAUAUUUCUUCCUAAGAGAAAAAACUUUUAAUCAUAAUUGAUUACCAAUGUUCUUGAGGUUACUGAAAUUCACACUUUCAUCAGCAAUUGAAGUCUAAUAAAAAGCUUUGCAGAUACAUUGAUUACUUUAAUGCUGUCCUAAUUGAAUUCUUAUUAAUUCAGACAUUAAUAGCUGUCUCACCCCCAAGAAACUCCAGGAGGCUUCUGUUAGGCCAUUAGAUAGGGAUCUUAAGAGUGCUUGUGUUGAGCUUUGGAUGUUGAAGGUUUAUAAUUUGACAUGAAUUUUACAUGUAGGCAUAAUGGACCUAUCAUUUGGCAUAAUUGUUGCAUCGUAACCAUAAAAAAACCUAUCCCAAAUGGAGGAACAAAUAGGACAGCUUGCUUUGAUACCUGUUUGAAUAUUAAGAGAAUAAGAACAAUGAAUCCUCAAUAUAUUACAAGCUGGUAAUAUGUAUAGCCACAACCGAUUCUUCAGUAAUGAAAGAGUCAAAUGCAAGUUAAAUAAUAAAACUAUCCCUCUUUUAUUUUUUUGUGCUAGCAUCUAUUAAUUGCUUUUGAGUUGGGAUAUACGGAAAAGAUUUACACCCUUCUUCUAGCUUUUCUUAGAUGAAGUGCCGGUCUACUUCAAUGUGCUUUGUCCUGUCAUAUUGAACCAGGUUAUGAGCUAUACUGAUAGCAGCUUUGUUGUCACAGUGAAGUCUCAUAGGUGGAGAGUUAAAAGCCUUUAGGUCUGAGCAAUUUCUCAAACUAUAGCAAUCUUCUACCAGGUUUCGGGUUUGAGUGGAUUUACGCGCGUAGGUAUAUUUAGUCAAACAGCAUGGUAGUUGUUUGAAGAGAUCCGAUAUUGUUGUUGAAACUUGAAAAUUAGAAUAGAGUUAGCCAGGGAAUGUUGCAAGCUUGUUGUAUUAGAUAUCACCUUUGAUCCAAUUGGAGAAUAGCUAGCAAACGUCACAAUCUCUACUUAGCUGUUGGCUAUUGCAGCUGAAAUCAUACAAAACGUAAAUAGUAACGCUAGGUGCUUAAAUGUUUUGAUUCUACUUUCAUUCCAUUAGCAUUUUCUUAUAACGAUAUACGUACCAGUAUAUACGCGUUGGUUAAA